This 207-nucleotide long non-coding RNA is filed under the name Elaeis guineensis (African oil palm). RNAcentral describes it as "long non-coding RNA (EGUI_LNC012116)". Lineage: Eukaryota; Viridiplantae; Streptophyta; Magnoliopsida; Arecales; Arecaceae. The record is from RNAcentral.
UCCCAUUGCCUAAGCAAAUAAAACAUCUGACCCAUGCAUCUUCUCACCAUGAAAGGUUAUGUCUUCUUGCCUUCUUCUUCUGCUCUUCUUCUGGACGACAGUAUUUUGGGUUAGGGAUUGGCCGAUUGGGGUGAUCGCAUCUGACGAGGUGAGUGGCAUCCAAGCAGCAGAUGAGGAGAGAAACAGCGACACUAGCAUGGAGACAAC